CACGGGGAGGGCGGUGCACACAGCCUUCCCUGUCCUCCUCCUGCAGAAACUCACCUUGUUCUGCACUCCUGGGGCAACAUCCACGUGGGGCUUUUCUUCCUGUUCAGGUUUCCAAAUAGCGCUUCAAGGUUGUAGCUACAGCAUGUUAAAUACUCCUAAAGACCAAAUUAUCCGCGCACUUAGGAAUCCUCUGGAAUUAAUUAUAAUUCCAUCUCUAUGAGACACAGAGAUACUUUUGUCCCCUGUUGUGUUGACUGUAAACAGAGGUACUACUAGGCUGGAGUCACAAAUCAUGCUGUCCACUGCAGACAUUUGGUUUGAGAGAAAGGCAGAAGAUGUGUGGCAGAAGCCCAGGGUACAUCUGUGCCCUUAUGAAAGAUGGGCAUGGGGCUGUGGGAUGGAGCUCUGGAACAAGUCCUCUUUUUCUCUUUCACGAAGUGAUGCAGGAAAGAAUGGUGACCAUGGAAUGCUUAUAAAAUUGGCAAAGGCGGGAAGUCAAACUGAGUCAAGUGAUCCCCAUUCCUUAAAAUGGCCCACCACCCCAGCAGACCUCAGUCCAGACCAACAGUGGACCUCAGAAUGGAAUAACUGCUGUGCUGCAUUUCCCAGCUGUGACUCAGGCGCUGUGGGAUGUUUCGCGUUGCUUCCCGACAUGCAGAGAUGCUCACCUUUCCCGUGAGGAUGCUGCACGUAGACUUUUCCUGCUUUGCGGAAGCGUAGUUGUAUCUGAACGCUGACUUAUUUCUUUGUGACUAAUGAGCCUGCAUGAAAGCAUUGGAUAGUCUCGAAUGGGCAGGUGUAUUAUACUCCGUGUUAAGAAAUUUGUUUUGUUCAGCUGUAUGUCAAACGUGAUUUGUGGCUGGGCUGUGGAAUCAAUCCAAAAAGAUAAAUUUGCUUACCAAAGGUUGCUGUCAAGCUCUACCGUGCUGAAGCUCCAGCUUACAGAAGGCAGCGUCUUCCAACAAAAGGGUUUCAGCCAAAUAAAUGGAGCUUAGAGAAAAUGCAAUGUUACAGCUGAAGUACCGGGAUAAUUGAGCCUGUAACAUCUGCUGAAAUGUAGUGACACCAAAAAUAAACACUUCUGCCCAUGUUGCUAUUCCCUGGUACAGCAGUGUAUAAACAUGUGAUGCGACCCCAGCACAUCAGGGAAUGUGGGAACAGACUGGUGUUGCCAUCAUAAGUACCCUUCCCCUGUCAAGGAAGGAGCUUUCCGAGCACAGCUGUAAUAAGGACAUUGCUUGGGUUGCUUUCCAGCAGCUUUUAUGAGAAGGGAAAAGGGAUCAUGUGCUUAAUUAGCCCCUUUAGUAAGAGGUGUUCUUGUGUAUGUUUUGCAGCUGGAACAAAGGGCCAGGGUGAGGGUGUUUGCUUGAUUUUUCCCUUAAAGAGAGAAAAUGUAUGAAAUCGUUCCUGGAUGGAAAAUAGGGAAAAAAAAUAGCAAAAAUCUUUUGUCUGUUAUAAGGACUAAUUUUCCUAGGAAAAUGCUCAAGAAUGAGAUUUUCCUUUUGUUGCAAAUUACUGUUGAGUUUGAUUAAACAGAACCAUUGAUUUGCUUAUUCUUCUCUGCGUGAUUUCCCCUGGCUUGGAGCUGUGGGAAGCCAGGCUCAGCCUCUGUCCAGCAAAUGCCCUCGUAAACACAAGCUUCUGGUUUCGCUUUCACAGUAUAAACACAAGGGAACAUUCAAUUACAUUGAAAAGGGAUGCAUUUAAAACUGAUAAAAAGGAAAUAAAUUUUUGCGCGGCGUGCAAUUACUCAGUGGAAUCCAUUCCUCUUGAGUGUCAUCACAACCAAAAGCUUAGCAGGAUUUGAAAGAGGGCUGGAGGGCUGGUAAUACAUACAUAAAAAUAAACAAGGACUCUGGAAGGGAUUUACACUCUUGGGCUUCUGGGGAGAAGCCAGCAUCCCAUUGUGGCAGUUUUGGGAAAGGUUUCCAGAGCUGCUUGUCCCACACUGCCUGCCACCGUACUGCUUGCAUGUCCCCUUGGCGUGCUGCAGUAACAGCCUCCUUCAGCAGGAC
RNAcentral lists this long non-coding RNA (2015 nucleotides) under Gallus gallus (chicken). Its description in RNAcentral is "lncRNA (ENSGALG00010012500.1)". The record is from RNAcentral. Lineage: Eukaryota; Metazoa; Chordata; Aves; Galliformes; Phasianidae.